RNAcentral lists this ribosomal RNA (386 nucleotides) under uncultured organism. Its description in RNAcentral is "partial 16S ribosomal RNA". It matches the Rfam family "Bacterial small subunit ribosomal RNA", at positions 527 to 896 of the family's 1533-position model. The record is from RNAcentral.
GUAGGUGGCAAGCGUUGUCCGGAAUUAUUGGGCGUAAAGCGCGCGCAGGUGGUUCUUUAAAAAAAAAAAAGUCUGAUGUGAAAGCCCCCGGCUCAACCGGGGAGGGUCAUUGGAAACUGGGGAACUUGAGUGCAGGAGAGGAAAGUGGAAUUCCACGUGUAGCGGUGAAAUGCGUAGAUAUGUGGAGGAACACCAGUGGCGAAGGCGACUUUCUGGCCUGUAACUGACACUGAGGCGCGAAAGCGUGGGGAGCAAACAGGAUUAGAUACCCUGGUAGUCCACGCCGUAAACGAUGAGUGCUAAGUGUUGGGGGGGUUUUCCCGCCCCCCUCAGUGCUGCAGCUAACGCAUUAAGCACUCCGCCUGGGGAGUACGGUCGCAAGACUG